UGCUGGAGGUAUCAGAAGUGCGAAUGCUGACAUAAGUAACGAUAAAGCGGGUGAAAAGCCCGCUCGCCGGAAGACCAAGGGUUCCUGUCCAACGUUAAUCGGGGCAGGGUGAGUCGACCCCUAAGGCGAGGCCGAAAGGCGUAGUCGAUGGGAAACAGGUUAAUAUUCCUGUACUUGGUGUUACUGCGAAGGGGGGACGGAGAAGGCUAUGUUGGCCGGGCGACGGUUGUCCCGGUUUAAGCGUGUAGGCUGGUUUUCCAGGCAAAUCCGGAAAACCAAGGCUGAGGCGUGAUGACGAGGCACUACGGUGCUGAAGCGACAAAUGCCCUGCUUCCAGGAAAAGCCUCUAAGCAUCAGGUAACAUCAAAUCGUACCCCAAACCGACACAGGUGGUCAGGUAGAGAAUACCAAGGCGCUUGAGAGAACUCGGGUGAAGGAACUAGGCAAAAUGGUGCCGUAACUUCGGGAGAAGGCACGCUGAUAUGUAGGUGAAGCGACUUGCUCGUGGAGCUGAAAUCAGUCGAAGAUACCAGCUGGCUGCAACUGUUUAUUAAAAACACAGCACUGUGCAAACACGAAAGUGGACGUAUACGGUGUGACGCCUGCCCGGUGCCGGAAGGUUAAUUGAUGGGGUUAGCGGUAACGCGAAGCUCUUGAUCGAAGCCCCGGUAAACGGCGGCCGUAACUAUAACGGUCCUAAGGUAGCGAAAUUCCUUGUCGGGUAAGUUCCGACCUGCACGAAUGGCGUAAUGAUGGCCAGGCUGUCUCCACCCGAGACUCAGUGAAAUUGAACUCGCUGUGAAGAUGCAGUGUACCCGCGGCAAGACGGAAAGACCCCGUGAACCUUUACUAUAGCUUGACACUGAACAUUGAGCCUUGAUGUGUAGGAUAGGUGGGAGGCUUUGAAGUGUGGACGCCAGUCUGCAUGGAGCCGACCUUGAAAUACCACCCUUUAAUGUUUGAUGUUCUAACGUGGGCCCCUAAUCGGGGUUGCGGACAGUGUCUGGUGGGUAGUUUGACUGGGGCGGUCUCCUCCUAAAGAGUAACGGAGGAGCACGAAGGUUGGCUAAUCCUGGUCGGACAUCAGGAGGUUAGUGCAAUGGCAUAAGCCAGCUUGACUGCGAGCGUGACGGCGCGAGCAGGUGCGAAAGCAGGUCAUAGUGAUCCGGUGGUUCUGAAUGGAAGGGCCAUCGCUCAACGGAUAAAAGGUACUCCGGGGAUAACAGGCUGAUACCGCCCAAGAGUUCAUAUCGACGGCGGUGUUUGGCACCUCGAUGUCGGCUCAUCACAUCCUGGGGCUGAAGUAGGUCCCAAGGGUAUGGCUGUUCGCCAUUUAAAGUGGUACGCGAGCUGGGUUUAGAACGUCGUGAGACAGUUCGGUCCCUAUCUGCCGUGGGCGCUGGAGAACUGAGGGGGGCUGCUCCUAGUACGAGAGGACCGGAGUGGACGCAUCACUGGUGUUCGGGUUGUCAUGCCAAUGGCACUGCCCGGUAGCUAAAUGCGGAAGAGAUAAGUGCUGAAAGCAUCUAAGCACGAAACUUGCCCCGAGAUGAGUUCUCCCUGAGACUUAGAGUCUCCUGAAGGAACGUUGAAGACGACGACGUUGAUAGGCCGGGUGUGUAAGCGCAGCGAUGCGUUGAGCUAACCGGUACUAAUGAACCGUGAGGCUUAACCUU
RNAcentral lists this ribosomal RNA (1676 nucleotides) under Escherichia coli. Its description in RNAcentral is "partial 23S ribosomal RNA". It matches the Rfam family "Bacterial large subunit ribosomal RNA", at positions 1271 to 2925 of the family's 2925-position model. The record is from RNAcentral. Lineage: Bacteria; Pseudomonadati; Pseudomonadota; Gammaproteobacteria; Enterobacterales; Enterobacteriaceae.